CCUACGGGUGGCAGCAGUGGGGAAUAUUGGACAAUGGGCGAAAGCCUGAUCCAGCCAUGCCGCGUGUGUGAAGAAGGCCUUCGGGUUGUAAAGCACUUUCAGUGGGGAAGAAAGCCUUGGGGCUAAUACCCUCGAGGAAGGACAUCACCCACAGAAGAAGCACCGGCUAACUCCGUGCCAGCAGCCGCGGUAAUACGGAGGGUGCGAGCGUUAAUCGGAAUUACUGGGCGUAAAGCGCGCGUAGGCGGUCUGAUAAGCCGGUUGUGAAAGCCCCGGGCUCAACCUGGGAACGGCAUCCGGAACUGGCAGGCUAGAGUGCAGGAGAGGAAGGUAGAAUUCCCGGUGUAGCGGUGAAAUGCGUAGAGAUCGGGAGGAAUACCAGUGGCGAAGGCGGCCUUCUGGACUGACACUGACGCUGAGGUGCGAAAGCGUGGGUAGCAAACAGGAUUAGAUACCCCUGUAGU
This 464-nucleotide ribosomal RNA is filed under the name Vreelandella stevensii. Its description in RNAcentral is "partial 16S ribosomal RNA". It matches the Rfam family "Bacterial small subunit ribosomal RNA", at positions 338 to 794 of the family's 1533-position model. Lineage: Bacteria; Pseudomonadati; Pseudomonadota; Gammaproteobacteria; Oceanospirillales; Halomonadaceae. The record is from RNAcentral.